GAUGAAGAACGCAGCGAAAUGCGAUACGUAAUGUGAAUUGCAGAAUUCAGUGAAUCAUCGAGUCUUUGAACGCACAUUGCGCCCCCUGGUAUUCCGGGGGGCAUGCCUGUCCGAGCGUCAUUGCUGCCCUCAAGCACGGCUUGUGUGUUGGGCCUCCGUCCUCCUCCCGGGGGACGGGCCCGAAAGGCAGCGGCGGCACCGCGUCCGGUCCUCGAGCGUAUGGGGCUUCGUCACCCGCUCUUGUAGGCCCGGCCGGCGCUUGCCGACACAUCAAUCUUUUUUCCAGGUUGACCUCGGAUCAGGUAGGGAUAGCCGCUGAACUUAAGCAUAUCAAUAAGCGGAGGA
RNAcentral lists this unclassified non-coding RNA (345 nucleotides) under soil metagenome. RNAcentral's name for it is "partial contains 5.8S ribosomal RNA, internal transcribed spacer 2, and large subunit ribosomal RNA". The stretch from base 1 to 120 matches the Rfam family "5.8S ribosomal RNA", at positions 35 to 154 of the family's 154-position model. The record is from RNAcentral.